Long non-coding RNA from Symphalangus syndactylus (siamang), 1376 nucleotides. RefSeq lists it as uncharacterized. NCBI's taxonomy places the organism in Eukaryota, Metazoa, Chordata, Mammalia, Primates, Hylobatidae. The record is from RefSeq and is a predicted model, not a curated record.
GAUGGAGGUGAUCUUGGUGACGAUGACGAUGUGAAGCACCUAGUAGAAUGCCUGGUGCAUGAUCUCCAGAGAGGAAGAGAAUAAAAACUCCCCUGAAAUAAUUACUCUCGUUGAGGAUAUUUAGGAGAAGGACGAUGUUUUAUUUUUUCAUUGAACUUCCAGUACCUACCACAAUACCUGCCUGGCACACAGUGGCACUCAAUAAGUGCUGCUGGAUGGCACUUUGAAAACACUGACUAUUAAAAGAUACACUUGGAAAUAUUUACAAUGAAAUGAUAGAAGUCUUGGAUUAGCUUCAAAACAAGCCAGCAGAGAAGACUAGGAGUGGAGCCAGAUUUUUCUUCUUGAAGUUGGGGGGUCGGGUCCAUCGCAUUCAUCAUUAUAUGUUCUUCUCAACUUUUAUGUUUGAAAAGUUCCUAAUAAAAAGUUGAAAAACUUUCAGCAGCAUUAAAUGAAAUAUUCACCAAAUGGGAUGAAAGUCCCAUUUCUACAUGAAAGUAGAAAGCAACAUCUUCCUCUUGGUGUUUUGCUGUGCCCCAUCUUUCUCAGGAUCUCCAUGUGUUUCUAUUUCUUUCUCUCCUUUCUCACACCCUUGGCAAACUCCUCUGUCUUUCAACUACCUUAUGGUAUUCUCUUUUCCUUCAACUGAGACUUUUCUCUGCAGCAUUUACUAGAGGUGUAUAUUUUCCUCAUCCCUUCCCCAUGUCGUCUCUUUCCUCUCUUACAUCUGCUAAAUUCAUUUGCAUUAUGGGCACAGAUGCCAUGCCCCUUGACUUCUUCCCCUGUAGGGCAAUUGUCCUUAAGAGAACCACACUCCUUAUUCCUAUUAUGGCAACAGGAGAAGGGGGUACAUACUUGUGGCCAGGCACUGUUACCUUUCUGUCUCCCUGUGAACUAUGUGUGUGCCAGAACACUCUAUCUAUCUACCUGUCCACUUGGGCAAAAAUUUAGACUGAACAAUUACUUGGCAGGUUUUAAAGGUGGCAACAAUAGAACUCAUUAAUUGCGGAGGGAAGAAUGACACAUGUCCAAUUGUUUAGUUCUUUUUCUAAAUGGGUACUUAAUAAUUCAUAAGAAAUGUAGAAGCCGGGCGCGGCAGCUCACGCUUGUAAUCCCAGCACUUUGGGAGGCCGAGGCGGGCGGAUCACAAGGUCAGGAGAUUGAGACCACGGUGAAACCCCAUCUCUACUAAAAAUACAAAAAAAUUAGCCGGGCGUGGUGGUGGGUGCCUGUAGUCCCAGCUACUCGGAGAGGCUGAGGCAGGAGAAUGGCGUGAACCCGGGAGGUGGAGUUUGCAGUGAGCCGAGAUUGCGCCACUGCACUCCAGCCUGGGCGACAGAGCGAGACUCCGUCAAAAAAAAAAAAAAAAAAAAAAA